Melanotaenia boesemani (Boeseman's rainbowfish) is the source of this 747-nucleotide long non-coding RNA. RefSeq lists it as uncharacterized. The record is from RefSeq and is a predicted model, not a curated record. Lineage: Eukaryota; Metazoa; Chordata; Actinopteri; Atheriniformes; Melanotaeniidae. The transcript has 5 exons.
UUCCCACUGGGUGUCGUCUGGUGACAAGAUGAACUUAUUUUAUCUAAAGAAAGCCCAGAACAGUGCUUGCUGCCAGAACGGUAUGAUGACAAGAGAUGAGAAAAUGAAGCAGCUGAUUUCUGAGAGGACACCAUCAGGUCUACCCACUCAGUAUGGUGAAACUGCAGAUGAUGCAGCAGAAUCAAUACAAACAACAAGAAGAAUAAAAAAAUUGCAGAAUCUUGUUCAAGCAAAGAAGGGAUAUCAGAAAUAACAGUGAAAAAGUGAAGAAUGCAAAUGACAAAAACGAUUGUUUGGCAGAGGUGGUGAGAAACAACAACGCAGUGCUGACCUGCAUCAGCUGGGGGAGGAGGAUGGAGAAAAAGUCUUCUAGAACAGCAACAUCGCCCCAGCAGCCGCAUCAACACCUCGACAGGGAUCUUCAUGAAGAUCCAGAGGAGGAACCGGUCUGGAGCCCAAAGAUUGGAAGUGACCAGUGGAGGCCAUUUGACUGCCCACAGUCCUGGACUCCCUUCUAUCACACCUGCCAGCAAACGCAACGCGAACUGUGGGCCUGUGGUGGCAGCUUGUCUCUGCCUCGAGCCUCUGAAUGGGAUCGCUUUGAAAGUCUGAUAAAGGAACUGGACAGCAAGCAGUCGGGACAUGUGCCUUCCACAUAUGAUCCGCUCCAUCACAGAUUUGCACUUCUCACAAAACACACAAAAACAAGAGCAGAACCGUGAACCCACCAAGCCGAAGCUGGAGAGG